Molecule: ribosomal RNA, 397 nt
Filed under: uncultured bacterium
Lineage: Bacteria
Description: bacterial SSU rRNA
Rfam family: Bacterial small subunit ribosomal RNA
Source: RNAcentral
AUUGAACGCUGGCGACAUGCCUUACACAUGCAAGUCGAACGGCAGCACGGGGGCAACCCUGGUGGCGAGUGGCGAACGGGUGAGUAAUACAUCGGAACGUGCCCAGUAGUGGGGGAUAGCCCGGCGAAAGCCGGAUUAAUACCGCAUGCGACCUACGGGUGAAAGCGGGGAUCGCAAGACCUCGCGCUGUUGGAGCGGCCGAUGUCAGAUUAGGUUGUUGGUGGGGUAAAGGCCUACCAAGCCGACGAUCUGUAGCUGGUCUGAGAGGACGACCAGCCACACUGGGACUGAGACACGGCCCAGACUCCUACGGGAGGCAGCAGGUGGGGAAUUUUGGACAAUGGGGGCAACCCUGAUCCAGCCAUGCCGCGUGCGGGAAGAAGGCCUCGGUGUAACG